CACCACACACCACUUGUGGGAUUACACCAGGUUUGUUUGUUGUUGUAAACACAAUUAUGCAGUAAAACUUUUGUUGAUAAGGUAAAUAACUUAUACAGUAUAUAAUCCAAUGAAAUGGAGGGGGGACCUACUCCGUAGCAUAUGGUGACCAGUAACUUAUGGAUUCCCUUAAUCAUCAAGUGCACUUUACACACGGAUGACAAAGUGAAAUCACAGUACAAUUAAAAGCCUUUUGGUCAUAACAUUCACUACAAUUAACAGUAAAAUAUGCAUUCACAUGGAUUCAUAGAUGACCAGAAAGAUAAACCGUUUAUACACUUACAGAUACCACCCCCAUCAAACCACCUCCUUAGCCGGCUUCUUCAGAUCAUCAUCGACAACUUUAGUAGGAAGAAUCACAUAUCCUCCAAAUUUUUUAGGGCUAACGUCAUCAUCGAAAUCAUCGUCGUCGUCGGAAUCCUCCUCAAAAUCAAAAGCGGUGGGCCAGAACAGAGACCAGAUCAGGUACAUCAUGGCAGCAGUUAAAGCGCCACAACCAGCACCGAAAAGCAUAGCUCCCAUGACCCUCAUGAUAUCCUUUGAUCGGUCACGAAUCGAGCUUGUGACGGCCGAGUAAAACUCCAUGGGCUUCGAUACAUCUUCUUCUUCUCUUUCUAUGAGCUGAUUUUCUUCUCUUAGUAGGAAGAAUCACGUAUCCUCCCAACUUUUUAGGGCUAACGUAAUCAUCAAAAUCGUCAUCAUCGUCAGAAUCCUCCUCAAAAUCUAAAGCGGUGGGCCAGAAUAGAGACCAGAUCAGGUACAUCAUGGCAGCAGUUAAAGCGCCACAACCAGCGCCGAAAAGCAUAGCUCCCAUAACCCUCAUGAUAUCCUUUGAUCGGUCACGAAUCGAGCUUGUGACGGCCGAGUAAAACUCCAUGGGCUUCGAUACAUCUUCUUCUUCUCUUUCUAUGAGCUGAUUUUCUUCUUCGCCGCCGCCGAUACGGUCGACGAAAAUAGCGUUGCGACCACCGAGAAACUUGUUGAAUCGGACUUUGUUGUCUCCGUUGAGGGGAUUGGAUGUGGUGAAGAAGAAUGUUAGGAAUCGGCGAGAAUUCAGGGAAGGGUAUUCGAGGGAGAAAUUAGGGUUAGGGUUAGGAUUUGAAGGAUGGGCUGAUGCGGGAAUUGGGUAAUAGGAGGUGGAUGUGAAGAAGAAGAGGGUGUUGCAGGGUCGGGCGGUGGCGGAGACGGCUAGGAGAGAGAGGCCGAGGAGAAGAAGAGGGAGCUUCCAGGUCGCCAUUGACUCGUGAGAAGAGAAAAGCUGUCGAUGAAGAAAAAUGAAAGAGGAAAUGCGAAAAUAUGUGAUUCGGUGUUGGG
Molecule: long non-coding RNA, 1353 nt
Filed under: Nicotiana benthamiana
Lineage: Eukaryota; Viridiplantae; Streptophyta; Magnoliopsida; Solanales; Solanaceae
Description: long non-coding RNA (NBEN_LNC041645)
Source: RNAcentral